UACACUACAUAUUUCUACACAAUUUACAAAGUGAUAAGCUGACACUCCUACAAAGCUGAAAACAUGAGCCAUUUCCUAUAGUUGCAAGAAUAGUCAGCAACAAUCCCUCCAAUAAUAGUUCUUCACCAGUUAGUUAAACAUAUUUUUGUUUCUAUCAGCAUAUAUAAAGGAAGAUAAAGCAAGAUCUGUCAACGCCAAUUCAAUCUAAUUACAUAAAUCAAAUCUUAUUUGAGAGAUGACAUUUUACUUGAAAUUAAUGUGUGAGAAUGCAAAGAAGCAGAAGAAGUUCCAAACCAGUGCUCACCUUGUCUUCUUCCCCCAAAGAAGCCGGAAUGGAUGAAGCUCAGAGACAGUUUCCAAAUGCUGCUCCAAUUGCUAUUGCAGGCUAGUUUCACUGCAUAUAUAUAUAAUGCAAGUAUUAUAACUUGAGCUUGAAUUCUAAGUGGAGAGAGAGAGGGGAGGGGAGAAAGAGAUAACUGACUCCAUGGUGAGAAAAAGCCUCAGAAGAUCAUCCCCUUCUACGACUCAAAUCUACCACAAUCAAGAAAACAUUGAUCAAACAAUUAACAAUAAUACUACUAAAAUCAAAUUUAAAAAAAUACAAUGACCCAGAUCUAGGGUAGGAGCCUCUCCGCCGCAAUGCCGUCUCCCACCAAUGCCCCUGGAUCGCCGAAAUCCACCACCAGGUCGCCGCCCCCCUCCACUUCCUCCAACCUCAACUUCAACGGCACCUCAUCGCCUAUCCUCAUCGCGCUGUCGUCUCCCGAUAAACAACCCAUGAAAGGAAAAAUUAGAGCUUUGUUUGGAGUAUUUGGAGAGGGAUGUGGGGAUCGCUUGGAGUAACUGCCGAAUAUGUGGAGGUAGGGAUGUCAAUGCAGCCCGAAACCCGUGGGCCGACCCGAAUAACCCGACAAAAUUAGAGGGUUAGGGUUGAAAAAUCGCAACCCGAAAAAACCUCCAGCCCGAUUAGUCCGCACCCGACUAACCCGGAACCCGAUAGGGCUAGCCCGAAAACCCGAUGGGCUGACCCGGUGGGCUGACAGAAUUGUGACUGAUGCAUCCAGUUACAAUUUCUGCUAUGUUUAGAUCUAUGGUAUUUGCUUAAAUAUAUAUAUGUAGCCUCAUUAAAAAAAAGUGAAAUUAAUUAGUUAGAAUAUAUAUGUUGUGUGUGUGUGUGUGUGCAAUCUCAUAUAAAAAAAGUGAAAUUAAUUACGGUUUUUUUGUAGAAAUUGAUUAUUAGUAUCUCAUUAGUUAGAAAUUAAUUAUUAGUAUCUCAUUUUAAAGUGAUACCAUUUUUUUUUUCUGUCAAUGAGACGUGCAUGGCAAAUCCACUAAUUAUUCAGUAAUAAUCCAGAUUGAUUCUAGUGCAUUGAUACAUGCUAAAUUUUACUAUCUCAUUUUAAUAUAAUUUUGUUUAUGUAAUCUUGAAUAUCUUAUAUUUUUGCAUUUCAUGCUUUGCUAUAUAAUUUAUAUCUUUAAUAUCUAUGUAUAUUUUAUACAUUAUACAUUAGAUCAUUAGGAAUAAUAAAAUACAAAUGAUAAUUUUAUUUUUACGCCUUUAACCUGAUUAGCCCGAUGGGCUAGCCCGAAACCCGAAAGUUUAGGGUUAGGGUUGAAGAUUUACAACCCGAAAAAAUCUCCAACCCGAUUAGCCCGCACCCGACUAACCCGGAACCCGAUAGGGCUAGCCCGAAAACCCGAUGGGCUGGCCCGAUUGACAUCCCUAUGUGGAGGGUUUUAGCAUCUGGCGGUAAAAUGAAAACGUUUUGUGAAGAUUAGCGGUAAAAUAAAAUGUUUUCUAAUUUUUG
RNAcentral lists this long non-coding RNA (1808 nucleotides) under Salvia miltiorrhiza (redroot sage). RNAcentral's name for it is "long non-coding RNA (SMIL_LNC000646)". The record is from RNAcentral. Lineage: Eukaryota; Viridiplantae; Streptophyta; Magnoliopsida; Lamiales; Lamiaceae.